Molecule: long non-coding RNA, 1586 nt
Organism: Homo sapiens (human)
Lineage: Eukaryota; Metazoa; Chordata; Mammalia; Primates; Hominidae
Gene: PTPRT-AS1
Product: PTPRT antisense RNA 1
Source: Ensembl
AUCAGCUGAAGUCUCACAGCCAGCGAAUGGCAGGCCAGGGCACCAGGGCCUAGGUCUGCCUGCCUCUUCCAUCCACCUUCUGUCAUCACAAGCCUUCUGAUCUCCAGCCCUCUGAUCUGCCCCAGUGGGACCCUCCUGCGUCUCUGCUCUAGUUGUAGAGGACCCAUCAGGCACUUAGAGAGAAAUGAGUGGUGUUGUGAACAUUCGACUGUGUCCAUGUGGAAUCCACACACACAGUUUGCCUGAAAAUGACUGAUAGGAUGGAAACUGACAAGUCAUCAUCCGCUUCGGGCACCAGCGAUGACUGGUUAACAUGAAUAUUGUGUUGAUUUCCGCUAGAUAGAAGAAGAUGUCACUUGUCGUUAAUGGGGUGUCACACGUACACUUGCCUAAAGGAAAAUGCUCUUUUGGUGAUUGUUCUCAAUUUUCACCUCAUUUUAUAGCCAUAAAAAAGAAAAGAUUCAGCAGAAAGGAUGAAUCCACCUAGGGGUAGGAUGGAAAGGCAUUCUUCUCAUUUAUUUCCUUCUUUCUUUACCAGAACAACCAAAACCCAGUGAAAAUGCUGGUGCAAGUCAGAAGAGGGGGACCUGGGUUCUAAGAGCAGCCAGGUACUCUGGGCUUCAGAUCAGAGCCUCAGAAUCCAGCAGUUAUGCCCACAAGGUAGCCAAAGUCCAGCCAGUACCACCGGUCUCUCGGCCAGCUAUACUUGCCUCUGCUCAACAAUGAUGAUUUGAACGUACAUGUACAAAUAAUAACAGAUAACAUUACUGAGCACUUUACUAUGAACUAUGGAAUGUGCUAGGUAAAGACGUUACUCCACGUAAGCCAUAAAAUCAACCUAUGGGGCAGGUGCAGAUCCACAAACCCUGAUUUAAGAAUUCUGAAUCCUCAAAAGCUUUGAAAACCAAAACAUUUUUUCAUACGUGGUAAUAUGGUAAAAUACUUUGGAGGAACUGGAUGUAUUUUUCCUCUGGUCUCCAGAGAAGAAACUGAGACGACAGCAAGUCACAGAUUCAAGCUGUGUUCAUAAUGUGUUUCCACGUGGAGGUCACACUUUCAUGUUCAUGGGCAGAUGAAUUCUAACACCAAACACCAGGCUGAAUAGGUGUUCCCAUUGCAAGAGAAGUGCUGUGCACAAUUUUUAUUUGCAUUUCAAAACCCUAACAAAUGGCCACAAUCAACUACUACAAAUUUCUCCUAAUUAGUUUUAGUCUGCACUUCUGUCACCUUUAGGAGAGAGCCAAAGAUUUUAACCUUCAAAAUUAUCAGCAAUGCAUGUCAGAAAGCAUUUCAAAGAAGAGUCAAAGUGCAUGUAGAAACUAAUUGCUGUAUCUGAAAGUGCUGUUUGAAGAAUUUUUCAGUCUUCAGAGAAGCAAGUUCCCCACCCCUUGGGAAAACUAGUCUUCAAACUAAAAGUUUCCCCAAAUCAUAUACCUGAGAAAAAUGUUAAAACAGACUUACCCAAAAAGGCAAAGAAAUAAAACUGUAAGAAUAAAUAAAUCAGAAAUCAGAUGUCUCUCCCCUGUUUAAAAUCCUCCAACAGCUUCCUACUUUACUUGGAAUAAAACGCAAUUCCUUUACCAUCA